Molecule: unclassified non-coding RNA, 392 nt
Filed under: soil metagenome
Description: partial contains 5.8S ribosomal RNA, internal transcribed spacer 2, and large subunit ribosomal RNA
Rfam family: 5.8S ribosomal RNA (bases 1-122)
Source: RNAcentral
GAUGAAGAACGUAGCGAAAUGCGAUACUUGGUGUGAAUUGCAGAAUCCCGUGAACCAUCGAGUCUUUGAACGCAAGUUGCGCCCGAAGCCAUUAGGCCGAGGGCACGCCUGCCUGGGCGUCACACGUCGUUGCCCCCCCAUCUACUCCUUCGGGAUUGCGGGGGGCGGAUGAUGGCCUCCCGUGCGCCUCGCCGCGCGGUUGGCAUAAAUGCCAAGUCCUCGGCGACGCACGCCACGACAAUCGGUGGUUGCGAAACCUCGGUUGCCCGUCGUGUGCGGUCGUCGCGCAUCGAGGGCUCGAAAAAAUUGCCGGGCUCCGGCUCGGCUUUCAACGCGACCCCAGGUCAGGCGGGGUUACCCGCUGAAUUUAAGCAUAUUCAAUAAGCGGAGGA